UACGUAGGGUGCGAGCGUUAAUCGGAAUUACUGGGCGUAAAGCGUGCGCAGGCGGUUUUUUAAGACAGGCGUGAAAUCCCCGGGCUCAACCUGGGAACUGCGCUUGUGACUGGAAGGCUAGAGUAUGGCAGAGGGGGGUGGAAUUCCACGUGUAGCAGUGAAAUGCGUAGAGAUGUGGAGGAACACCGAUGGCGAAGGCAGCCCCCUGGGCCAAUACUGACGCUCAUGCACGAAAGCGUGGGGAGCAAACAGG
Molecule: ribosomal RNA, 253 nt
Filed under: uncultured bacterium
Lineage: Bacteria
Description: partial 16S ribosomal RNA
Rfam family: Bacterial small subunit ribosomal RNA
Source: RNAcentral